AAAAAAAAAGGGGAAAACCUCUGCGGCGGGAUCCUCCACCGCCCGUCACAGCCGCGACCACCAUCACUCCCGCUCGCCGCCGCAGGCCACCUGCGGCCACCACCUCGAAGUGAGGUCAGGUCCCCAUCCUCCCUCUCAGUUGUCACAGAGAACAAACAAAGGGCCCCGCCGGAAGAUUUCCCCUUUCUGCCUGUAGCCGAAUUCCGCCGACGAACAGACCGCCUGCAGCGCCACCCCGCUUCCGCCUGCACCGCCGGAAGCCGCCUUCGGCUGCCACCGUGACCGGCCAUCCCUCUCCGGCCGCCGUCCGGCGCCGCAGAGCUUCGCUUCAGCCCACGAAGUCGUGGCCGUGAUCUCGCCGCCGCCGCAGGUCACGGAGCAGCCAUCGUGUUACCUGCCCCGAGCCCGCAGCCGCCGCC
RNAcentral lists this long non-coding RNA (419 nucleotides) under Phoenix dactylifera (date palm). RNAcentral's name for it is "long non-coding RNA (PDAC_LNC022967)". Lineage: Eukaryota; Viridiplantae; Streptophyta; Magnoliopsida; Arecales; Arecaceae. The record is from RNAcentral.